Molecule: ribosomal RNA, 468 nt
Filed under: uncultured bacterium
Lineage: Bacteria
Description: partial 16S ribosomal RNA
Rfam family: Bacterial small subunit ribosomal RNA
Source: RNAcentral
GACGAACGCUGGCGGCGUGCUUAACACAUGCAAGUCGAACGGAAAGGUCCUGCUUUUGUGGGGUGCUCGAGUGGCGAACGGGUGAGUAACACGUGAGUAACCUGCCCUUGACUUUGGGAUAACUUCAGGAAACUGGGGCUAAUACCGGAUAGGAGCUACUGCCGCAUGGUGGGGGUUGGAAAGUUUCGGUGGUUGGGGGUGGACUAGCGGCCUAACAGCUCGAUGGUGGGGUAGUGGGUUACCAAGGCUUGGACCGGUAGCCGGGCUGAGAGGGGCACCGGCCACAUCGGGACUGAAAUGAGACCCAGACUCCUACGGGAGGCAGCGGAGGGGAAUAUAGCACAAGGGGCGGAGGCCUAAUGCAGCAACGCCGCGUGCGGGAUGACGGGCUGCGGGUUGUAAACCACUUUCGCCUGUGACGAGGCGUGAGUGACGGUAAUGGGUAAAGAAGCACCGGCUAACUACGUG